UUUUGCACGUACGCUCCGCGGCUUUGGUGGGUCAGGAUUCUGAGGAGAAUCUAGAAUUACAGUGCCUCAGAGCUGAUGGAACCAUUUUAUAUUGCAUCGAGAUGGAGCGCAUAUGUAUUAGUGAAACUUUUGUUUGUUUGUUUAGCAUGCAUGGCAUGUUGCGGCGACAUAAUCAUCAUGCUCCUAUUCUAAUAUAUUUGUUUGUUCGUGCAUGUGUAGUAAGCUCCUUGUAUGAAUGCCCCUGACAGAAAAAAAAAAUUAAUUGCACGUUUUGGCAUUUGCAUGUGAACAACCUCUUGUCUUUGCCUUUAGUAGGCACGGCGCAUUCCGGAUUUUUUUUUUUUCGGCCUAGCUUUCCGUCCUUCAGCCCCCACUUGCCUCUCCCCCACGCACCCAGGUGAGCCUGGUCAAUGCUAUCAGUCAAGCGUUCAGACAGCCAUAAGCUGCUGUGUCGAAUUGGGUGCUCUCGGAAGCAUGGGGGAAAGCGGUGGGGUCACUAUUGUCCUCCUUGUCGCCCUCCGUCGCUGUCACCCCAAAACGCGGUCGGGCUAGGUCCAGCGGGGGAAAGUGGCGUUUUUACGCCAUAUUCUUCGUUCACCCUUUCGUUUCACUCUUUCCUUCUAUGCGUCGCUAGCACGCCGACUGGGUGCAACACCGCCUGAGUGCUUGCCGUCUUGUCCGUUCUUGCCAGCGCACUCCUCUCGUGAAAAAUGCUCGCUUGCGGUCGUCAUUCCUACUGAGAAGCCUACAUGUUGAAAUACGCAGCAAUGUGGCCACGAAUUUUUGUGAGUGUUAGAAUUAAUAUAGGCGAAACAACAAUUAGAAAAAAAGUCGGCGCUCGUGGCCACCGUCUUCGAUGUGGGAUGAACUCGGAUACACAGAAGCAUGGAUCUUACAAUGCGCAAGCAUUUCCUCCAAGUAAUGGUGAAGUCGCUAUGGGAUAAGGUAGCGAUUUCAACGAAACCACCGCGUUAUCGUGGUCCUCGGGGGCCUGAUCAGCCCGCCGUCAUCCAAGCACUGACCAACCUGCCUACCGACGUCAUUUCCCUGCCCUGAAACCCCUGGCCAGCCCACCGUCCUCGGCACCUUGCCCAAUUCCUAUCCUGAGGGCAGUGCCUGUAAAUAAACUGUUUGAAGAUAACCGAGCGUCACCCAUCUAGGUCCACGGAAAAUGCCUGUUUGUGAAAAUUUAUUCGCAAAUAAACUGUCAUAAACGUCAA
RNAcentral lists this long non-coding RNA (1220 nucleotides) under Dermacentor andersoni. Its description in RNAcentral is "uncharacterized LOC126518339". Lineage: Eukaryota; Metazoa; Arthropoda; Arachnida; Ixodida; Ixodidae. The record is from RNAcentral.